Poecilia latipinna (sailfin molly) is the source of this 667-nucleotide long non-coding RNA. RefSeq lists it as uncharacterized. The record is from RefSeq and is a predicted model, not a curated record. The transcript has 2 exons. Lineage: Eukaryota; Metazoa; Chordata; Actinopteri; Cyprinodontiformes; Poeciliidae.
GUGGCCGCCAUGUUGUGAAAAGUGCUGCGAGGCAUUUAUAUAUGUGAUGGAGAUCACCCGCUGUGGAAAAGCACUCCUUCAUUCCUCAUGCAGAAAGAACUGUCAGCGAGUUGGAGGCAAUUAAACAAGUGGAUGUUCACACAAGGAUGAACCGUGGGCUUUCAGAAUCACAGCGACACCGGCCAAACACAGCAGCGCGUCGGUCCAACUUUAACCUCUAGAGUUUAGAGAUGGGACAGCGGGAGCAGGAACGCCGGCAUGUACGAGUCCCCGACAGAUGGAUGGGACGUCCUUUGUGUGCAGCUUUUGAUGCGUGGGUGGAUUUCAGCAACCCCGGCUGCACGGAUCAGAGCUGGCAGCUGACGUCAGCCUGGCUUGACGUCGACGUGAUGGCGGUCAUGACGUCAGCGGAUGAAAAUGAUCUCCAACAACAGCCACCGUUCUAAAGAUGCCUUCAUGUCCAAUUUAGCCCGGAUGGUGGCAAUGGGUCAUUUCUCAAGAAGGUGUUGCGGAGGGUGGGGGAAGAGAGAAAAGAGCGACUGGGGCAGAUGUUCAGAGGUUUUGACAACAACACGUGAGGAGAGAGAUAGAGGAGUUAAGGGAGGGGUUGCUUCAGAAACGGAGACAGAUAUUGAUUUUGUCUUGUUUUUCAGUCUUUUCAAAGACU